This 233-nucleotide ribosomal RNA is filed under the name Aeromonas hydrophila. RNAcentral's name for it is "partial 16S ribosomal RNA". It matches the Rfam family "Bacterial small subunit ribosomal RNA", at positions 1 to 228 of the family's 1533-position model. Lineage: Bacteria; Pseudomonadati; Pseudomonadota; Gammaproteobacteria; Aeromonadales; Aeromonadaceae. The record is from RNAcentral.
AAAUUGAAGAGUUUGAUCAUGGCUCAGAUUGAACGCUGGCGGCAGGCCUAACACAUGCAAGUCGAGCGGCAGCGGGAAAGUAGCUUGCUACUUUUGCCGGCGAGCGGCGGACGGGUGAGUAAUGCCUGGGGAUCUGCCCAGUCGAGGGGGAUAACUACUGGAAACGGUAGCUAAUACCGCAUACGCCCUACGGGGGAAAGCAGGGGGCCUUCGGGCCUUGCGCGAUUGGAUGA